This 253-nucleotide ribosomal RNA is filed under the name uncultured bacterium. Its description in RNAcentral is "partial 16S ribosomal RNA". It matches the Rfam family "Bacterial small subunit ribosomal RNA", at positions 524 to 776 of the family's 1533-position model. The record is from RNAcentral.
UACGGGGGGGGCAAGCGUUGUUCGGAAUUACUGGGCGUAAAGGGCUCGUAGGCGGCCAACUAAGUCAGACGUGAAAUCCCUCGGCUUAACCGGGGAACUGCAUCUGAUACUGGAUGGCUUGAAUUCGGGAGAGGGAUGCAGAAUUCCAGGUGUAGCGGUGAAAUGCGUAGAUAUCUGGAGGAAUACCGGUGGCGAAGGCGGCAUCCUGGACCGACAUUGACGCUGAGGAGCGAAAGCUAGGGGAGCAAACGGG